RNAcentral lists this ribosomal RNA (264 nucleotides) under uncultured bacterium. RNAcentral's name for it is "partial 16S ribosomal RNA". It matches the Rfam family "Bacterial small subunit ribosomal RNA", at positions 793 to 1055 of the family's 1533-position model. The record is from RNAcentral.
GUCCACGCCGUAAACGAUGGAUGCUAGCCGUCGGCAAGCUUGCUUGUCGGUGGCGCAGCUAACGCAUUAAGCAUCCCGCCUGGGGAGUACGGCCGCAAGGUUAAAACUCAAAGGAAUUGACGGGGGCCCGCACAAGCGGUGGAGCAUGUGGUUUAAUUCGACGCAACGCGAAGAACCUUACCAGCUCUUGACAUUCACUGAUCGCCUGGGGAGACCUGGGAGUUCCAGCAAUGGACAGUGGGACAGGUGCUGCAUGGCUGUCGU